UCUAAAAGAACAUUUUGGGUUUGGACUUAUGGUGUCCUACACUCCUACUGCAUCUACCCCAAAGUUGAAAAUAAAAUGACACAAAUAUGAUAAGGAGAAACUCGUUUUCUUAUUCUCCUUGUUCCUCCUCCUAGAUCAUUCUCCUAUCUUCUUUCCUUUCUCCAUGUCUGUGUUCUUCUGUGUUCUUCUGUGUUCCAGUUGCUUCGAAGGUCAGAUGGUUAGACAGAAGAGGCUUUAUUGUUGGAUCUCCAAUACUCCUAGUGCCCGAUGCUCCCAAAAAGUCUGACCGGAAGUCCUAAUACUCUGAGAAAUUUUCUCGAGCUUUCCAAAUUGGCAAAAAUUGGAUAGGCAUCGGAGGAAUUCUGUACUCUUCCAGCAGAAAAUCCAACAUCAGUAGUGUGAGAUUUCGGAUACACCGUUUUGAAUUGUUUCAUAAGGAAAUGAUAUGGGUUUCAGUCCUUUUCGUCGGAAUAGUUUGGAUAUGGUCUUUUUGCCAUCUUCUCGAGAGGUUAAAUCUUGUGUCCCGUGAAAUAGGACGUCGCAUGAAAGUUCAUGUUUCAGAACCAGUUUAUUCCUAUCGGUUAACCCCUUGAAGGCUCGAAGCUUACUCAACGGCGACGUACAGUUGAAGACCAUCCAUUUGCAGGGUCGAGGCUCCUCUUACUUCACGGCACUGGCAAUAUACAUAGCAUGUCUUCCUCUUCAAGCUUCUCACCGUUACUUACUUCGACGUCUUCACCACAUUACCACGAAUUCUGCCUCCAGGGCCUUUAGGGAUUCUCUGCUAUGGCGCCACCCGUUUGAUAUGUUCCAGUAAGAGGAGAUUCACGGCUGGGAGCUUGACCUUUCUGUGAUUUCAGUGGCCAGAGAGAGUAUUUCGGCCUCUCCAAGCUUGAGAAACAAAACCCAGGUUGGUUCUUAUAUGAGAGAUGAUGCACUAAAAGCCAGUUACAGAGAUGGGUUAUCUGGCAUCUUGGUCGAUUUAUUCAGUAGGUUUGUCUGGUGCCCAAGCUUGUGGAACCCAGAACAUGGGAGAAACUGAAGAGAAGUCUGAGGAAAAGGGGAAGGAAUAUGGUGCACGUUGGUGGGAGUUAUGUGGAAGCCAAGGACCCUUUGGAGAGAUGGAAAAUUGGUCAUUGUAGAGUCUCUGUCUCUCUGAAAGCAAUCAAUCAGGUCUUUCAAUCCAAAUGUCCAUUCUGAACCUCAGAUAUCGGAAAGAGGAAAUUCCAAUGCUGCCGAGAUCCCAGAGGUUUUAUGUGGACAAGGAACAUAGAAGAACAGGGUCAACAGAGCAAAAAGUAGCAAUGACCUCUCAACAUGGCAUGGGAAUUGCAGUGGAAUAGAUUGUUCCAAGCAUGUCUGGUCCUUGGUGGAUUCAACUUAUUCAGGUCUUCAUAAAGAGUAGGGAGAUCACAGAUUGGUCUGCAAGAGCAUAUCAAUGCUUGACAAAGGGCUACAAGAAGCAACUUUGUCUGACACCAAGAGAAGUCCUUUCCCAUGAAUGUAUGGAACUCAAGACAUUCUACCUAAUCCUGCUAUAACAAAUAAAAGGGUAUGGGAUGUUUGGAUUGCAUGGAGUUCCUCAUGACACCACUUUGACAUGUAGGUUUUCAGGAGCAGGAAAAGCUGCAUUUGGGUGCUUAACAAAGAGACCCUUCCAGGAAACUCUUGGCUUGUAGGGUUGGCUCCAUUGGCCCAGCUACUGUCAAAAAUACCAGAAUGCCAAGCACCUAAGCUUCUUCUCGCAGACAAACUUCAAGUGUUGACUUACGGAAAGUUAUUUAUUGACUAUAUCACAGUUGAGAGUAUUUCAGUGGGAAAGACAGGAUAAGUAGAGGAUGUUCAAUAAAUAGCAGAAUCACCUUCAGAUUUUUCAAGCCUCUUACACCUACAGGAAGCAUACGUGGUAGAUUGUCUUCCAGCUAUUGCUCAAUUUGUCUUAUUUAUAAUCAACUUAAAGUGAUAUCUCAUUUCAUCU
Macadamia integrifolia is the source of this 1978-nucleotide long non-coding RNA. RefSeq lists it as uncharacterized. The transcript has 2 exons. NCBI's taxonomy places the organism in Eukaryota, Viridiplantae, Streptophyta, Magnoliopsida, Proteales, Proteaceae. The record is from RefSeq and is a predicted model, not a curated record.